Molecule: ribosomal RNA, 223 nt
Filed under: uncultured bacterium
Lineage: Bacteria
Description: partial 16S ribosomal RNA
Rfam family: Bacterial small subunit ribosomal RNA
Source: RNAcentral
UAAGUGCUUGGGAAUCUAGGCUUAUGGAGGGGAUAACUACGGGAAGACUGUAGCUAAUACCGCGUAGUAUCGAGAGAAUGAAAGUGUGGGACCUUCGGGCCACAUGCCAUAGGAUGAGCCCAAGUGGGAUUAGGUAGUUGGUGAGGUAAAGGCUCACCAAGCCGACGAUCUCUAGCUGGUCUGAGAGGAUGACCAGCCACACUGGGACUGAGACACGGCCCAG